AUUAAAUAAUUAUAAAUUAGGGUUUAAGUUAGUAAUUAAAAUAAUAUUAAUUAUUAAUUAAUUAAAUUAAUAUAAAUUUAAGUUUAAUGGUAUCUUAUAGAUGAUUAGUAUUGAUAAAUAAGUUUUAUUAUUUUUAUGAAAGUAAAUUUUUUAUUGUAUCUUGUGUAUCAGAGUUUAUUAGAAUUAUAUUUAGUAAAAUAUUUUUCGAAUUAAAAGGAGCUAAAAUUUUAAUAAAUUUAAUGUUGGAUAAUUAUUUUAAAUAUAAUUUUAGUAAUGAUAAGUUAUUCGACUUUUAAGAUAUCUAAUUUUUUUAGAAAUAAAUUUAAUUUAUUAUUUAUCUUUAUAAUUAUAUUUAUGUUAUAUAUAUAUAUAUAUAAUUAAUAAGAUAAAUUUUACUAAUUUUAGGGAUAAGCUUAAAUUAUUAAAUAGAUAUAAGAUAUAUUAUAUUUAAAAAAAUUUUUAAAAUUUAUAUUGUUUAUAAAUUAAAAUUUUUUAUAAAUUAUUUUUUUGUAAUUAAAAUUUAAUUAAAUUUAUGUUUAUAUAAAAAUUUUAUUAAUAAUUUAUUUUAAUAAGUAAUAAUGAUAAAAUUAGUAAAUUUUUAAGUAAUUUAGAUAUUUAAAAUUGACAGGUAAUUAAAAAGAAUUCGGCAAAAAUUUAUAUUUACCUGUUUAUCAAAAACAUGUCUUUUUGGUGUUAAUAUAAAGUCUAAUCUGCCCACUGAAUUUUAAAGGGCUGCAGUAAUUUGACUGUACAAAGGUAGCAUAAUCAAUAGUCUUUUAAUUGAAGACUGGUAUGAAUGAUUGGAUAAGAUAUAAACUGUUUCUUAAUUAAUAAUUAAAUUUAAUUUUUUAGUUAAAAAGCUAAAAUUUUUUAAAAAGACGAGAAGACCCUAUAGAGUUUACAUAUAUUUAAACUAUUGAUUAUUAGUUUAAAUAUAUUUUAUUGGGGUAAUAAAAAAAUUUGAAAAAUUUUUCUUAAAUAAUUUCAUAAGUAAGUGAGUUGAGGAUCUUUUUAUUUGAUUAAAAGAAUAAAUUACCUUAGGGAUAACAGCGUAAUUUAAUUUUUUAGUUCUUAUAGAAAGUUAAGUUUGCGACCUCGAUGUUGGAUUAAGAUAAAAUUUAAAUGCAAAAGUUUAAAAUUUUGAUCUGUUCGAUCAUUAAAAUCUUACAUGAUCUGAGUUCAAACCGGUUUAAGCCAGGUUGGUUUCUAUCUUUUAAAAUUUGAAAUAAUUUA
This 1233-nucleotide ribosomal RNA is filed under the name Taraka hamada. RNAcentral's name for it is "partial 16S ribosomal RNA". Lineage: Eukaryota; Metazoa; Arthropoda; Insecta; Lepidoptera; Lycaenidae. The record is from RNAcentral.